Molecule: unclassified non-coding RNA, 200 nt
Filed under: soil metagenome
Description: partial contains internal transcribed spacer 2 and large subunit ribosomal RNA
Source: RNAcentral
UGCCUGUUCGAGCGUCAUUAUAACCCUCAAGCCUAGCUUGGUAUUGAGGUCGCUAUCCAGCGGCCCCUAAAAUCAGUGGCGGUGCCUGUAGGUUCUACGCGUAGUAAUUUUUCUCGCUAUGGAUCCCUAUAGGCACUUGCCAAUAACCCCAAAUUUUUCAGGUUGACCUCGGAUCAGGUAGGGAUACCCGCUGAACUUAA